RNAcentral lists this small RNA (115 nucleotides) under Marmota monax (woodchuck). The record is from RNAcentral. Lineage: Eukaryota; Metazoa; Chordata; Mammalia; Rodentia; Sciuridae.
GCCAGGCAUGGUGCUGCCUCCCUAUAGUCCCAGCUACUUGGGAGGCUGAAGCAGGAGAAUUGCUUGAGUCUAAGAGUUUGGAGCCAGUCUAGGCAACAAGCAAGACCUAAUUCCA